UAUGUGAUCGUCUCUCGCAUAUCAAUAAGCGGAGGAAAAGAAACUAACGAGGAUUCCCCUAGUAACGGCGAGUGAAGCGGGAAGAGCUCAAAUUUGAAAUCUUAAAGGGUUUCCCUUUACGAAUUGUAGUUUAAAGAAGUGUUUUCUGUUGAGGUUUUGGUAAAAGUUCUUUGGAAUAGGACAUCAUAGAGGGUGAGAAUCCCGUAUUUGACCUUUACUUUCAACUUUGUGAUACACUUUCAAAGAGUCGGAUUGUUUGGGAAUGCAGUCCAAAAUGGGUGGUAAAUUUCAUCUAAAGCUAAAUAUUGGCGAGAGACCGAUAGCGAACAAGUACCGUGAGGGAAAGAUGAAAAGAACUUUGAAAAGAGAGUUAAACAGUACGUGAAAUUGUCAAAAGGGAAGCGUUUGACACCAGUGUUGUUUUUCUGAAAAUCAAUUAAAGAACUGUUUAUGCUAAGUUGUUUAGACUUUAUCAGCUAACUGUUUAGUUUUGAGCUUUUCUUUAAUGCACUUUUCAGUUAACAAGUCAACAUCAAUUUCUUUUGCUGUAAAAAAGCUUGAGGAAGGUGGCUUGAGAUUCGUCUUAAGUGUUUAUAGCCUCUUGCCUAUGCAGUCGGAGAGAUUGAGGUCUGCAGCGUAGAUCCUUCGGGGCUAAAUGCAUUUGUGCUAAGUUAUAGCAUUUUAUAGACAACUUGUUGACUAUGAUUUGUCUUGUAGCUUACUCGCUUAUGUUAUUUUACCUACGCUUAGGAUGUUGAUCUACAGAGCGAGAGU
RNAcentral lists this ribosomal RNA (774 nucleotides) under uncultured Neocallimastigales. Its description in RNAcentral is "partial large subunit ribosomal RNA". It matches the Rfam family "Eukaryotic large subunit ribosomal RNA", at positions 24 to 631 of the family's 3401-position model. The record is from RNAcentral. Lineage: Eukaryota; Fungi; Neocallimastigomycota; Neocallimastigomycetes; Neocallimastigales.